Micropterus salmoides (largemouth bass) is the source of this 524-nucleotide long non-coding RNA. RefSeq lists it as uncharacterized. NCBI's taxonomy places the organism in Eukaryota, Metazoa, Chordata, Actinopteri, Centrarchiformes, Centrarchidae. The record is from RefSeq and is a predicted model, not a curated record. The transcript has 3 exons.
CCUGCAUGUUUUUGGAUGUUGGGAGGAAGCCGGAUCACUCGGAGAGAACCCACACGGACAGAACAUGCAAACUCCACACAGAAACCGGGGUUUGAAUCCACCACCUUCUUGCUGUGAGGCGACCACUGCACAACAGCCAACACAAUUUAGAAAUACAGUGAACACUGAAAAGGGCAGUUUCAGUAUGCAGUGGAAGUCGAUGGAUGUGAUUGCUACAAUCAUAUUUGUCAGGCCUGCCGCAGCCCGACUCCCUGCCGGAAACCUGACUCCUGUCUUCGCUCCAUUCCUGCUCUGCUUGGAUUCUGGAUUCCCCAGCCCGCCUGGAUUCCCCCCACUGGACCUGCUCUGGACCUGCUCUGGGCUCUCUCUCAAUUAUGUUUAUUAGGUACACUUGAAUAGCCCAAAACAGCCCCACAAUGAAUCUGUAAUACCUUUUAUGAAGUUUGUUUUUAUACCAUCUUUCUGUUCCUUUAGUUGUGCAAAACAGUGUUUGUAUAGUUUACACUGUGUCAGAUAAUUCUACU